Long non-coding RNA from Cotesia glomerata, 425 nucleotides. RefSeq lists it as uncharacterized. The record is from RefSeq and is a predicted model, not a curated record. Lineage: Eukaryota; Metazoa; Arthropoda; Insecta; Hymenoptera; Braconidae. The transcript is spliced from 3 exons.
AUAAUUUUAAUUCUUUUACGCCUUAAGGUAGUUCCAGCAUGAAAUCACUUUUCGACAGAGUCGGCUGAAAUUUUUUUACGGGUUCAGAAUAGCUUUAUUUAUAAAUUCCUAAAAUUUCAUAAUUUUUGACCGUUUAGAUCGCGAGAUAUUUAAAGUCAAAGUUGGCGAUUUUGAGGGUCAUGUUCCAUUUAAAGUAUGUAAAAUGUCCGGUUUCUCCAAGUAUUUUUUAUUAUAUUAAAAAAUUCUCUGGACAGAAUUGGAAAAAAAAUUAGGAGAGUGUUGAAAAAUGUGUUUAGAAUAAGUUAAAAAAAUAAAAGUAGCACCUCACCGUUUUGUUAUCGAGAUAUAAUAAUUAAAAAAAAAUAAUUUUCGAUCCAUUUCUAACCUGCUUAUUGAACAAUUUAUAGCGAUUCGGCAAUGCCGUG